GAAGUCAGAGGCACCAAUGUGAGGUUCCACCUGCUUUCCAGCACAUUCUUGGUUUCCUCACUUCUGCUAGACAACGUUUGAUCAGAAGGAACAGGGAACGAGAAGGAGCUGCUGGAUGACGAUAAGCCUGGGAAAGGGAGGCUGGGUGAGCAGAGACAGAAAAGAAACACCUACCUGCUGUGACCUCACAAACACCCAGGCUGAGUUUUGAUAAGACAGGUUGAAUCACACUGGGGUGACAGCCUCAUCCCUCCAGAUGCUGGUCAACCUCUGGGGCCCAAAGAAGACCAUCAGCUUCCUGGGAUGCUCUGUCCAGCUCUUCAUCUUCCUGUCCCUGGGGACCACUGAGUGCAUCCUCCUGACAGUGAUGGCCUUUGACCGAUACGUGGCUGUCUGCCAGCCCCUCCACUAUGCCACCAUCAUCCACCCCCGCCUGUGCUGGCAGCUGGCAUCUGUGGCCUGGGUUAUGAGUCUGGUUCAAUCGAUAGUCCAGACACCAUCCACCCUCCACUUGCCCUUCUGUCCCCACCAGCAGAUAGAUGACUUUUUAUGUGAGGUCCCAUCUCUGAUUCGACUCUCCUGUGGAGAUACCUCCUACAAUGAAAUCCAGUUGGCUGUGUCCAGUGUCAUCUUCGUGGUUGUGCCUCUCAGCCUCAUCCUUGCCUCUUAUGGAGCCACUGCCCAGGCAGUGCUGAGGAUUAACUCUGCCACAGCAUGGAGAAAGGCCUUUGGGACCUGCUCCUCCCAUCUCACUGUGGUCACCCUCUUCUACAGCUCAGUCAUUGCUGUCUACCUCCAGCCCAAAAAUCCGUAUGCCCAAGGGAGGGGCAAGUUCUUUGGUCUCUUCUAUGCAGUGGGCACUCCUUCACUUAACCCUCUCGUAUACACCCUGAGGAACAAGGAGAUAAAGCGAGCACUCAGGAGGUUACUAGGGAAGGAAAGAGACUCCAGGGAAAGCUGGAGAGCUGCUUAA
RNAcentral lists this unclassified non-coding RNA (973 nucleotides) under Homo sapiens (human). RNAcentral describes it as "olfactory receptor family 2 subfamily H member 1 (ENSG00000206471.10, ENSG00000229408.8, ENSG00000232984.8, ENSG00000235132.8)". The record is from RNAcentral. Lineage: Eukaryota; Metazoa; Chordata; Mammalia; Primates; Hominidae.